This 429-nucleotide ribosomal RNA is filed under the name Chloroflexota bacterium. Its description in RNAcentral is "Chloroflexi bacterium partial 16S ribosomal RNA". It matches the Rfam family "Bacterial small subunit ribosomal RNA", at positions 355 to 776 of the family's 1533-position model. Lineage: Bacteria; Bacillati; Chloroflexota. The record is from RNAcentral.
UGGGGAAUAUUGCACAAUGGGCGCAAGCCUGAUGCAGCCAUGCCGCGUGUGUGAAGAAGGCCUUCGGGUUGUAAAGCACUUUCAGCGGGGAGGAAGGCGGUGAGGUUAAUAACCUCACCGAUUGACGUUACCCGCAGAAGAAGCACCGGCUAACUCCGUGCCAGCAGCCGCGGUAAUACAGAGGGUGCAAGCGUUAAUCGGAAUUACUGGGCGUAAAGCGCACGCAGGCGGUCUGUCAAGUCGGAUGUGAAAUCCCCGGGCUCAACCUGGGAACUGCAUUCGAAACUGGCAGGCUAGAGUCUUGUAGAGGGGGGUAGAAUUCCAGGUGUAGCGGUGAAAUGCGUAGAGAUCUGGAGGAAUACCGGUGGCGAAGGCGGCCCCCUGGACAAAGACUGACGCUCAGGUGCGAAAGCGUGGGGAGCAAACAGG